Molecule: ribosomal RNA, 446 nt
Filed under: uncultured bacterium
Lineage: Bacteria
Description: SSU rRNA
Rfam family: Bacterial small subunit ribosomal RNA
Source: RNAcentral
AGAACGAACGCUGGCGGCAUGCCUCAUACAUGCAAGUCGAACGAAGGCUUCGGCCUUAGUGGCGCACGGGUGAGUAGCGCGUGGGAACCUACCCUUCUGUGGGGGAUAACCGAGGGAAACUUCGGCUAAUACCGCAUACGCCGGGAAACCGGGAAAGAUUUAUCGCUGAAGGAUGGGCCCGCGUCGGAUUAGCUAGUUGGUGGGGUAACGGCCUACCAAGGCUAUGAUCCGUAGCUGGUCUGAGAGGAUGAUCAGCCACACUGGGACUGAGACACGGCCCAGACUCCUACGGGAGGCAGCAGUGGGGAAUAUUGGACAAUGGGCGCAAGCCUGAUCCAGCAAUGCCGCGUGAGUGAUGAAGGCCUUAGGGUUGUAAAGCUCUUUCGCCCGCGACGAUGAUGACGGUAGCGGGAGAAGAGCCCGGCUAACUUCGUGCCAGCAGCCGC